This 286-nucleotide long non-coding RNA is filed under the name Ursus americanus (American black bear). RNAcentral's name for it is "lncRNA (ENSUAMG00000025076.1)". The record is from RNAcentral. Lineage: Eukaryota; Metazoa; Chordata; Mammalia; Carnivora; Ursidae.
CCCCCAGGGUCCAACGAGAAUAAAUCAGUGGACAAUUGAGGUGCUUUGCCAACCCUGAACAAGCAGACCUUUGUUGAGAACAUUACGAAGAACAGCACUUUGAGACAACGAGGACGUGCGGCUGGCUUAGAAUCUCGGAUGUGGAAGCAAUACUACACCAAGAGGUAGACUUGCCUUCAGAUUUCAUCAGUGUAAACGGAGCAGGUCUCUAGGAGCAGCAAGAUAGCUAGAGGCGGUAGAGACAUCUCAGAGGGCUGCAGGGGCAAUGUGGGAGGGUAGGAGGAGU